GCUCACUUCGGCAAUACUUAUAGUAAAACUGGAACACUGAAGAGAAGAUUAGUAUGUGUCCUGUGUGAAGAUGACGUGCAAAUUUGUGAAGCGUUCCAUAUUUUU
Molecule: small nuclear RNA, 105 nt
Organism: Ochotona princeps (American pika)
Lineage: Eukaryota; Metazoa; Chordata; Mammalia; Lagomorpha; Ochotonidae
Source: RefSeq, a predicted model, not a curated record